ACAGCAAUAUCGCGUUGAAACGACGGUUCUCGUACGGCCACCGAAGUUAAGCAACGUCGAGCCGGGUCAGUAUCUUGAUGGGUAACUGCUUGGGGAUACCAGGCGCUGUAAG
Acanthosepion pharaonis is the source of this 112-nucleotide non-coding RNA. Lineage: Eukaryota; Metazoa; Mollusca; Cephalopoda; Sepiida; Sepiidae. The record is from the annotation of a GenBank genome assembly.